This 460-nucleotide ribosomal RNA is filed under the name uncultured bacterium. RNAcentral's name for it is "partial 16S ribosomal RNA". It matches the Rfam family "Bacterial small subunit ribosomal RNA", at positions 338 to 795 of the family's 1533-position model. The record is from RNAcentral.
CCUACGGGGUGCAGCAGUGAGGAAUAUUGGUCAAUGGACGAGAGUCUGAACCAGCCAAGUAGCGUGAAGGAUGACUGCCCUAUGGGUUGUAAACUUCUUUUAUAUGGGAAUAAAACGUUCCACGUGUGGGAUUUUGUAUGUACCAUAUGAAUAAGGAUCGGCUAACUCCGUGCCAGCAGCCGCGGUAAUACGGAGGAUCCGAGCGUUAUCCGGAUUUAUUGGGUUUAAAGGGAGCGUAGGUGGAUUGUUAAGUCAGUUGUGAAAGUUUGCGGCUCAACCGUAAAAUUGCAGUUGAAACUGGCAGUCUUGAGUACAGUAGAGGUGGGCGGAAUUCGUGGGGUAGCGGUGAAAUGCUUAGAUAUCACGAAGAACUCCGAUUGCGAAGGCAGUUCACUGGACUGCAACUGACACUGAGGCUCGAAAGUGUGGGUAUCAAACAGGAUUAGAUACCCUUGUAGUC